AUCCAGCUGAGUCCCAAACAAGACGGAACGCGCGUCCUGGAU
Schistosoma mansoni is the source of this 42-nucleotide non-coding RNA. NCBI's taxonomy places the organism in Eukaryota, Metazoa, Platyhelminthes, Trematoda, Strigeidida, Schistosomatidae. The record is from Rfam.